This 480-nucleotide ribosomal RNA is filed under the name uncultured Cellulomonas sp. RNAcentral describes it as "bacterial SSU rRNA". It matches the Rfam family "Bacterial small subunit ribosomal RNA", at positions 906 to 1382 of the family's 1533-position model. Lineage: Bacteria; Bacillati; Actinomycetota; Actinomycetes; Micrococcales; Cellulomonadaceae. The record is from RNAcentral.
GGAAAUUGACGGGGCCCGCACAAGCGGCGGAGCAUGCGGAUUAAUUCGAUGCAACGCGAAGAACUUACCAAGGCUUGACAUACACCGGUAACGCCCAGAGAUGGGUGCCCCUUUGUGGUCGGUGUACAGGUGGUGCAUGGUUGUCGUCAGCUCGUGUCGUGAGAUGUUGGGUUAAGUCCCGCAACGAGCGCAACCCUCGUCCCUAUGUUGCCAGCGGGUCAUGCCGGGGACCCAUGGGAGGACUGCCGGGGUCGAACUCGGAGGAAGGUGGGAGUGACGUCAAAUCAUCAUGCCCCUUACUGUCUUUGGGCUUCACGCAUGCUACAAUGGCCGGUACAAAGGGCUGCGAUACCGCGAGGUGGAGCGAAUCCCAGAAAGCUGGUCUCAGUUCGGAUUGGGGUCUGCAACUCGACCCCAUGAAGUCGGAGUCGCUAGUAAUCGCAGAUCAGCAACGCUGCGGUGAAUACGUUCCCGGGCCUU